ACGUGAUCUGAGUUCAGACCGGAGCAAUCCAGGUCAGUUUCUAUCUAUAAGAAGUCUUUUCUAGUACGAAAGGACCGAAAAGACAUGGCCAAUGCACUAGCAAACCAUCCUAACCAACUUAUGACUCAAACUCAAUAAAAAACUAAUUCAACAUAUAGUCCAAGAAAAAGACA
RNAcentral lists this ribosomal RNA (173 nucleotides) under Gastrotheca nicefori (Niceforo's marsupial frog). RNAcentral's name for it is "16S ribosomal RNA". Lineage: Eukaryota; Metazoa; Chordata; Amphibia; Anura; Hemiphractidae. The record is from RNAcentral.